RNAcentral lists this small RNA (758 nucleotides) under Pan troglodytes (chimpanzee). RNAcentral describes it as "processed transcript". Lineage: Eukaryota; Metazoa; Chordata; Mammalia; Primates; Hominidae. The record is from RNAcentral.
AUCACUUUCUUGUCCUAAAAUCUCAAGGGAAGCCAGACUCACUGGCAUUUGCCUUUUCUUUAACUCCUGCCUUCCUUCAAAGCCUGACUUCUGUUUAUCCCAUGAAACCUCCUGACAACACCAACUGAGAAGAAAAUGCUUCUUCCUGAGAUGGAGUCUCACUCUGUGGCCCAGGCUGAAGUGCAGUGGUGGGAUCUUGGCUCACUGCAACCUCCACCUCCCAGGUUUAAGAAUGUUACAUUUGAUAUCAUAGCUACUGAAGAUGUAGGCAUUUUCGAUGUAAGAUCAAAAUUCCUUGGUGUUGAGAUGGAAAAGGUGCAACUCAAUAUUCAGGAUUUACUUCAGAUGCAAUAUGAAGGAGUAGCUGUAAUGAAAAUGUUUGAUAAGGUUAAAGUGAAUGUAAACCUUCUCAUAUACCUGCUGAACAAGAAGUUCUAUGGAAAGUGAAGUGCCUACAGAAAUUUCUUGGAUUCUGUAUCAUCUGGAUUAGGAAAUGAAUUUGUUUAAUAUUUUUGUUUUUAAACAUGAUUGAAAUCACUGCUUAUAAAUGUGUGAUUUUUUUUAAACGACCAAAACUGUUCUGAAGAAUGUACCCAGGUGCCUUUUUGCUAAUUUGAUACUAUAAUAGAAUGAGACAUAAAAUGAAUUAAUGGAAACAUAUCCACACUGUACUGUGGUAUAGGUACUCUGAUUUAAAACUUUGGACAUCCUGUGAUCUGUUUUAAAGUUGGGGGGUGGGAAAUUUAGCUGACUAGGGA